CUGACCUUAGCUCAGUUGGUAGAGUGGUGGACUGUAGUUAGACUAAUCUAAAUUGGAAAUCCUUAGGUCGCUGGUUGAUUCCGGCAGGUUGGA
Molecule: transfer RNA, 93 nt
Filed under: Ipomoea nil (Japanese morning glory)
Lineage: Eukaryota; Viridiplantae; Streptophyta; Magnoliopsida; Solanales; Convolvulaceae
Rfam family: tRNA
About the family: Transfer RNA (tRNA) molecules are approximately 80 nucleotides in length.
Source: Rfam by way of RNAcentral